CAAAACACAGCUCAGUUCAGAUUGUAGGCUGAAACUCGCCUAUAUGAAGUCGGAAUUGCUAGUAAUCGCGGAUCAGCAUGCCGCGGUGUAUACGUUCCCGGGCCUUGUACACACCGCCCGUCACACCAUGAGAGUCGAUAACACCCGAAGCCUGUAGUCUAACCGUUAGGGGGGACGCAGUCGAAGGUGGGAUUGAUAAUUAGGGUGAAGUCGUAACAAGGUAUC
This 225-nucleotide ribosomal RNA is filed under the name uncultured bacterium. Its description in RNAcentral is "partial 16S ribosomal RNA". It matches the Rfam family "Bacterial small subunit ribosomal RNA", at positions 1277 to 1500 of the family's 1533-position model. The record is from RNAcentral.